UGGCGAACGGGUGAGUAACACGUGAGUAACCUGCCCUUGACUCUGGGAUAAGCGUUGGAAACGACGUCUAAUACCGGAUACGACAACCGAUGGCAUCAUCUGGUUGUGGAAAGAAUUUCGGUCAAGGAUGGACUCGCGGCCUAUCAGCUAGUUGGUGAGGUAAUGGCCCACCAAGGCGACGACGGGUAGCCGGCCUGAGAGGGUGACCGGCCACACUGGGACUGAGACACGGCCCAGACUCCUACGGGAGGCAGCAGUGGGGAAUAUUGCACAAUGGGCGCAAGCCUGAUGCAGCAACGCCGCGUGAGGGAUGACGGCCUUCGGGUUGUAAACCUCUUUUAGUAGGGAAGAAGCGAAAGUGACGGUACCUGCAGAAAAAGCACCGGCUAACUACGUGCCAGCAGCCGCGGUAAUACGUAGGGUGCAAGCGUUGUCCGGAAUUAUUGGGCGUAAAGAGCUCGUAGGCGGUUUGUCGCGUCUGCUGUGAAAACUGGAGGCUCAACCUCCAGCCUGCAGUGGGUACGGGCAGACUAGAGUGCGGUAGGGGAGAUUGGAAUUCCUGGUGUAGCGGUGGAAUGCGCAGAUAUCAGGAGGAACACCGAUGGCGAAGGCAGAUCUCUGGGCCGUAACUGACGCUGAGGAGCGAAAGCGUGGGGAGCGAACAGGAUUAGAUACCCUGGUAGUCCACGCCGUAAACGUUGGGAACUAGAUGUGGGGACCAUUCCACGGUCUCCGUGUCGCAGCUAACGCAUUAAGUUCCCCGCCUGGGGAGUACGGGCCGCAAGGCUAAAACUCAAAGGAAUUGACGGGGGCCCGCACAAGCGGCGGAGCAUGCGGAUUAAUUCGAUGCAACGCGAAGAACCUUACCAAGGCUUGACAUAUACGAGAACGGGCCAGAAAUGGUCAACUCUUUGGACACUCGUAAACAGGUGGUGCAUGGUUGUCGUCAGCUCGUGUCGUGAGAUGUUGGGUUAAGUCCCGCAACGAGCGCAACCCUCGUUCUAUGUUGCCAGCACGUAAUGGUGGGAACUCAUAGGAGACUGCCGGGGUCAACUCGGAGGAAGGUGGGGAUGACGUCAAAUCAUCAUGCCCCUUAUGUCUUGGGCUUCACGCAUGCUACAAUGGCCGGUACAAAGGGCUGCAAUACCGUAAGGUGGAGCGAAUCCCAAAAAGCCGGUCUCAGUUCGGAUUGAGGUCUGCAACUCGACCUCAUGAAGUCGGAGUCGCUAGUAAUCGUGGAUCAGCAACGCCACGGUGAAUACGUUCCCGGGCCUUGUACACACCGCCCGUCAAGUCAUGAAAGUCGGUAACACCCGAAGCCGGUGGCCCAACCC
This 1334-nucleotide ribosomal RNA is filed under the name Herbiconiux sp. SS04-01. Its description in RNAcentral is "bacterial SSU rRNA". It matches the Rfam family "Bacterial small subunit ribosomal RNA", at positions 96 to 1441 of the family's 1533-position model. Lineage: Bacteria; Bacillati; Actinomycetota; Actinomycetes; Micrococcales; Microbacteriaceae. The record is from RNAcentral.